RNAcentral lists this ribosomal RNA (467 nucleotides) under uncultured bacterium. Its description in RNAcentral is "partial 16S ribosomal RNA". It matches the Rfam family "Bacterial small subunit ribosomal RNA", at positions 28 to 507 of the family's 1533-position model. The record is from RNAcentral.
GACGAACGCUGGCGGCGUGCUUAACACAUGCAAGUCGAACGGAAAGGCCCUGCUUUUGUGGGGUGCUCGAGUGGCGAACGGGUGAGUAACACGUGAGUAACCUGCCCUUACUUUGGGAUAACUUCAGGAAACUGGGGCUAAUACCGGAUAGGAGCUCCUGCUGCAUGGUGGGGGUUGGAAAGUUUCGGCGGUUGGGGAUGGACUCGCGGCUUAUCAGCUUGUUGGUGGGGUAGUGGCUUACCAAGGCUUUGACGGGUAGCCGGCCUGAGAGGGUGACCGGCCACAUUGGGACUGAGAUACGGCCCAGACUCCUACGGGAGGCAGCAGUGGGGAAUAUUGCACAAUGGGCGGAAGCCUGAUGCAGCAACGCCGCGUGCGGGAUGACGGCCUUCGGGUUGUAAACCGCUUUCGCCUGUGACGAAGCGUGAGUGACGGUAAUGGGUAAAGAAGCACCGGCUAACUACGUG